AUGAACGCUGGCGGCGUGCCUAACACAUGCAAGUCGAACGGAGUUUAGCGCUGAUGAAGCUUCGGCAGAAUCUUGUUAAACUUAGUGGCGGACGGGUGAGUAACGCGUGGGUAACCUGCCUCAUACAGGGGGGAUAGCAGUUGGAAACGACUGAUAACACCGCAUAAGCGCACAGUGUCGCAUGACACAGUGUGAAAAAUAUUUAUAGGUAUGAGAUGGACCCGCGUCUGAUUAGCUAGUUGGUGAGGUAACGGCCCACCAAGGCGACGAUCAGUAGCCGGCCUGAGAGGGCGGACGGCCACAUUGGGACUGAGACACGGCCCAAACUCCUACGGGAGGCAGCAGUGGGGGAUAUUGCACAAUGGGCGAAAGCCUGAUGCAGCGACGCCGCCGUGAGUGAAGAAGUAUUUCGGUAUGUAAAGCUCUAUCAGCAGGGAAGAAAGACCUCGUAAGAGGGGAUGACGGUACCUGAGUAAGAAGCCCCGGCUAACUACGUGCCAGCCGCCGC
RNAcentral lists this ribosomal RNA (508 nucleotides) under uncultured bacterium. RNAcentral describes it as "bacterial SSU rRNA". It matches the Rfam family "Bacterial small subunit ribosomal RNA", at positions 29 to 518 of the family's 1533-position model. The record is from RNAcentral.